RNAcentral lists this ribosomal RNA (2922 nucleotides) under Lactiplantibacillus pentosus. Its description in RNAcentral is "bacterial LSU rRNA". It matches the Rfam family "Bacterial large subunit ribosomal RNA". Lineage: Bacteria; Bacillati; Bacillota; Bacilli; Lactobacillales; Lactobacillaceae. The record is from RNAcentral.
AGGUUAAGUUAACAAGGGCGCAUGGUGAAUGCCUUGGCACUAGGAGCCGAUGAAGGACGGGACUAACACCGAUAUGCUUCGGGGAGCUGUACGUAAGCUAUGAUCCGGAGAUUUCCGAAUGGGGCAACCCAGCAGUUUUAAUCAACUGUUACCACUAGAUGAAUUCAUAGUCUAGUUGGAGGUAAACGCUGUGAACUGAAACAUCUCAUUAGCAGCAGGAAUAUAAAGAAAUUUCGAUUCCCUAAGUAGCGGCGAGCGAACGGGGAACAGCCCAAACCAAAGUGCUUGCACUUUGGGGUUGUAGGACUGAACAUUUGAGUUACCAAAGAACUUGAUAGUCGAAGGAUUUGGGAAAAUCCGCCAUAGAUGGUGAUAGCCCAGUAGAUUAAAUCAAAUUCUCUCAGUUCAGGAUCCUGAGUACGGCGGAACACGUGAAAUUCCGUCGGAAUCCGGGAGGACCAUCUCCCAAGGCUAAAUACUACCUAGUGACCGAUAGUGAACCAGUACCGUGAGGGAAAGGUGAAAAGCACCCCGGGAGGGGAGUGAAAUAGUUCCUGAAACCAUGUGCCUACAAUAAGUCAGAGCGCGUUAAUGCGUGAUGGCGUGCCUUUUGUAGAAUGAACCGGCGAGUUAUGAUCCCGUGCAAGGUUAAGACUAAAAAGUCGGAGCCGUAGCGAAAGCGAGUCUGAAAUGGGCGAUUUGAGUACGAGGUUAUAGACCCGAAACCAGGUGACCUAUCCAUGUCCAGGUUGAAGGUGCGGUAAAACGCACUGGAGGACCGAACCCGUGUAAGUUGAAAAUUGCUGGGAUGAGGUGUGGAUAGCGGUGAAAUUCCAAACGAACUUGGAGAUAGCUGGUUCUCUCCGAAAUAGCUUUAGGGCUAGCCUCGGAUUAAGGAUCAUGGAGGUAGAGCACUAUUUGGACUAGGGGCCCGUCUUGGGUUACUGAAUUCAGAUAAACUCCGAAUGCCAUUGAUUCAUGUCCGGGAGUCAGACGAUGAGUGAUAAGAUCCACCGUCGAAAGGGGAACAGCCCAGACCAUCAGUUAAGGUCCCUAAAUGUAUGCUAAGUGGAAAAGGAUGUGGAGUUGCAUAGACAACUAGGAUGUUGGCUCAGAAGCAGCCACCAUUUAAAGAGUGCGUAAUAGCUCACUAGUCGAGUGAUCCUGCGCCGAAAAUGUACCGGGGCUAAGCAUACUACCGAAACCAUGGAUGCGACCAUUAGGUCGCGUGAUAGGAGAGCGUUCUAAGGGCGGUGAAGCAAGAUCGUGAGGACUUGUGGAGCGCUUAGAAGUGAGAAUGCCGGUAUGAGUAGCGAAAGAUAGGUGAGAAUCCUAUCCACCGAAUGACUAAGGUUUCCUGGGGAAGGCUCGUCCUCCCAGGGUUAGUCGGGACCUAAGUCGAGGCGAGAGGCGUAGACGAUGGAUAACAGGUUGAGAUUCCUGUACUAGUUAAGUGCGUUUGAGCAAUGGAGGGACGCAGGAGGCUAAGAUGUGCAUUCUGUUGGAUUAGAAUGUCCAAGCAGUAAGUCUUGUGGAGAGUCAAAUGCUUUUCACUUUAAGGACAAGCUGUGAUGGGGAGCGAAAUUUAGUAGCGAAGCGUCUGAUGUCACACUGCCGAGAAAAGCUUCUAGUGAGUACUUAACUACCCGUACCGCAAACCGACACAGGUAGUCGAGGAGAGAAUCCUAAGGUGAGCGAGUGAACUCUCGUUAAGGAACUCGGCAAAAUGACCCCGUAACUUCGGGAGAAGGGGUGCUGAUCGCAAGAUCAGCCGCAGUGAAUAGGCCCAGGCGACUGUUUAUCAAAAACACAGGUCUCUGCAAAAUCGUAAGAUGACGUAUAGGGGCUGACGCCUGCCCGGUGCUGGAAGGUUAAAAGGAUGGGUUAGCUUCGGCGAAGCUCAGAAUUGAAGCCCCAGUAAACGGCGGCCGUAACUAUAACGGUCCUAAGGUAGCGAAAUUCCUUGUCGGGUAAGUUCCGACCCGCACGAAAGGCGUAACGAUCUGGGCACUGUCUCAACGAGAGACUCGGUGAAAUUAUAUUGUCCGUGAAGAUGCGGACUACCCGCGACAGGACGGAAAGACCCCAUGGAGCUUUACUGUAGCUUGAUAUUGAGUGUUUGUACAGCUUGUACAGGAUAGGUAGGAGCCAUAGAAACCGGAACGCUAGUUUCGGUGGAGGCGUUGGUGGGAUACUACCCUCGCUGUAUGACCACUCUAACCCGCACCACUAAUCGUGGUGGGAGACAGUGUCAGGUGGGCAGUUUGACUGGGGCGGUCGCCUCCUAAAAAGUAACGGAGGCGCCCAAAGGUUCCCUCAGAAUGGUUGGAAAUCAUUCGCAGAGUGUAAAGGCACAAGGGAGCUUGACUGCGAGACAGACAGGUCGAGCAGGGACGAAAGUCGGGCUUAGUGAUCCGGUGGUACCGUAUGGAAGGGCCAUCGCUCAACGGAUAAAAGCUACCCUGGGGAUAACAGGCUUAUCUCCCCCAAGAGUCCACAUCGACGGGGAGGUUUGGCACCUCGAUGUCGGCUCAUCGCAUCCUGGGGCUGUAGUCGGUCCCAAGGGUUGGGCUGUUCGCCCAUUAAAGCGGUACGCGAGCUGGGUUCAGAACGUCGUGAGACAGUUCGGUCCCUAUCCGUCGCGGGCGUAGGAAAUUUGAGAGGACCUGUCCUUAGUACGAGAGGACCGGGAUGGACAUACCUCUGGUGUACCAGUUGUGCCGCCAGGCGCAUCGCUGGGUAGCUACGUAUGGAUGUGAUAAACGCUGAAAGCAUCUAAGUGUGAAACACACCUCGAGAUGAGAUUUCCCAUUCCUUUAUGGAAGUAAGACCCCUGAAAGAUGAUCAGGUAGAUAGGUUAGAAGUGGCAGUGCGGUGACGCAUGAAGCGGACUAAUACUAAUCGGUCGAGGACUUAACCAAG